RNAcentral lists this long non-coding RNA (1033 nucleotides) under Musa acuminata (dwarf banana). Its description in RNAcentral is "long non-coding RNA (MACU_LNC003646)". Lineage: Eukaryota; Viridiplantae; Streptophyta; Magnoliopsida; Zingiberales; Musaceae. The record is from RNAcentral.
CCUCUAAUAGGAUCUUGUGAAAGAUCCUUUGGUAAAAAGAAGAAAGGUAAUAACAUCAUCAUCCUUCAUAGAACCUGUCAAAGGAUUCUCAAAAUAGCAGAUAAGUUGUGUACCACAAAACACAUCUAAGAGGCACCAUAAACAAUCACGACAUCUUCAUAGAACCUCAUGAGACUAUAAUGCUACUAGCUUUUUUAUUUCAAGUAAUGAUUGUUAUGUCACAAGUUAAGAAAAUCUACGAUGGUUAGUAUAAAAGCGUGUCUGAUUUUAUCGAUAAGGACCGAUAGCUCAUGAAGCUCGAACAACAGGAGAAAAACCCCAACUUGGCAAUGAGAUUUCUGCCAAGAUUUUGAAAAUUUUAUCAGUAAGAGAAUCAUCCGAAUGCAAUCUCAAAGCGUAAUGGACGAGCUUAAUCUGAAACGUCAUGAAAGUUUGCUCAAGGAAAAGAUUCAGAUGGUAAAAUGUGAUAGCUAGACUUGAUGCUAAAAUAGAUAUUUAUAAUACAUAAAAAUCUCGAUAAAUACGAUAAAUUAGUCAAUCGAUUUCUCGAAAAGCUUGUUCCUUUAGAAAGGGAACCGGAGCCCAGUAACAGGACAUGGAAAUCAGAAACCAUAUCUUCUUCCCCAUUACAUGUAAUACAAUUCUUUGAAAUACUAGCAAUAUGGCAGUAACCACUAAUUGGCACAUUAUCGAUGACAACUUUGAAAUACCAGAUAGAUGUUAGCAACUACUAGGUUUUGCCACGAUGAUAAUGACGCAUAAGCAGUACCUAAAAGAGCAUCAAGAUUUCGAUUCGGGCACAUAUCCAUUACCAAAAUCACUCAGGAAUCCCAAUCUAACAAGCGAAAGAACAUGAGACCCAUCGAAAAUAAUCCGACUCCUACAAGAAAAGAAGUUGCAAAUCGGAGAUCAAUGUUUCCAUGGAAUAAGCAAGAUCAAGCGGAGUCAUCUCACCAGUCACCACUUACCCGCGCCACAGCCGCCUUCCUCCUCUUCUUUGACCCUCUGACAGCGCUCAUGAUCACAACCCCAC